AGCACCUCGAGUGGUCAGGAGGUUUAUUGGGCCUAAAGCAUCCGUAGCCGGUUGUUUAAGUUUCCGGUUAAAUCUAUACGCUUAACGUAUAGGCUGCCGAAAAUACUGGACAGCUAGGGAGUGGGAGAGGUACACGGUACUCAAUAGGAAGGGGUAAAAUCCUUUGAUCUGUUGAUGACCACCUGUGGCGAAGGCGGUGUACCAGAACACGUUCGACGGUGAGGGAUGAAAGCUGGGGGAGCAAACCG
This 248-nucleotide ribosomal RNA is filed under the name uncultured crenarchaeote. RNAcentral describes it as "partial 16S ribosomal RNA". It matches the Rfam family "Archaeal small subunit ribosomal RNA", at positions 478 to 726 of the family's 1478-position model. Lineage: Archaea; Thermoproteati; Thermoproteota. The record is from RNAcentral.